Molecule: ribosomal RNA, 670 nt
Filed under: bacterium enrichment culture clone WG_326
Lineage: Bacteria
Description: bacterial SSU rRNA
Rfam family: Bacterial small subunit ribosomal RNA
Source: RNAcentral
CUUCUUUUUCCACCGGAGCUUGCUCCACCGGAAAAAGAGGAGUGGCGAACGGGUGAGUAACACGUGGGUAACCUGCCCAUCAGAAGGGGAUAACACUUGGAAACAGGUGCUAAUACCGUAUAACAAUCGAAACCGCAUGGUUUUGAUUUGAAAGGCGCUUUCGGGUGUCGCUGAUGGAUGGACCCGCGGUGCAUUAGCUAGUUGGUGAGGUAACGGCUCACCAAGGCCACGAUGCAUAGCCGACCUGAGAGGGUGAUCGGCCACAUUGGGACUGAGACACGGCCCAAACUCCUACGGGAGGCAGCAGUAGGGAAUCUUCGGCAAUGGACGAAAGUCUGACCGAGCAACGCCGCGUGAGUGAAGAAGGUUUUCGGAUCGUAAAACUCUGUUGUUAGAGAAGAACAAGGAUGAGAGUAACUGUUCAUCCCUUGACGGUAUCUAACCAGAAAGCCACGGCUAACUACGUGCCAGCAGCCGCGGUAAUACGUAGGUGGCAAGCGUUGUCCGGAUUUAUUGGGCGUAAAGCGAGCGCAGGCGGUUUCUUAAGUCUGAUGUGAAAGCCCCCGGCUCAACCGGGGAGGGUCAUUGGAAACUGGGAGACUUGAGUGCAGAAGAGGAGAGUGGAAUUCCAUGUGUAGCGGUGAAAUGCGUAGAUAUAUGGAGGAACACC